Molecule: ribosomal RNA, 600 nt
Filed under: bacterium Ca.S12
Lineage: Bacteria
Description: bacterial SSU rRNA
Rfam family: Bacterial small subunit ribosomal RNA
Source: RNAcentral
UCGAACGUAUNAAGGGAGCUUGCUCCUGGNAUAGUUGGCGAACGGNCUGAGAUAACACGNUGCAGCUAACCCUGCCCUUAACUCUUGGGAUAAGCCUGGGCAAACUGGGUUCUAAUACCGAGAUAUGACUCCUCAUCGCAUGGAGGGGGGUGGAAAGCUUUUUGUGGUUUUGGAUGGACUCNCGGCCUAUNAGCUUGUUGGUGAGGUAAUGGCUUACCAAGGCGACGACGGGUAGCCGGCCUGAGAGGGUGACCGGCCACACUGGGACUGAGACACGGCCCAGACUCCUACGGGAGGCAGCAGUGGGGAAUAUUGCACAAUGGGCGCAAGCCUGAUGCAGCGACGCCGCGUGAGGGAUGACGGCCUUCGGGUUGUAAACCUCUUUCAGUAGGGAAGAAGCGAAAGUGACGGUACCUGCAGAAGAAGCGCCGGCUAACUACGUGCCAGCAGCCGCGGUAAUACGUAGGGCGCAAGCGUUAUCCGGAAUUAUUGGGCGUAAAGAGCUCGUAGGCGGUUUGUCGCGUCUGCCGUGAAAGUCCGGGGCUCAACUCCGGAUCUGCGGUGGGUACGGGCAGACUAGAGUGAUGUAGGGGAGACUGG